RNAcentral lists this ribosomal RNA (400 nucleotides) under uncultured bacterium. RNAcentral's name for it is "bacterial SSU rRNA". It matches the Rfam family "Bacterial small subunit ribosomal RNA", at positions 123 to 500 of the family's 1533-position model. The record is from RNAcentral.
AAUCUACCUCGGAGUGGGGGAUAGCUCCUCGAAAGAGGGGGUAAUACCGCAUCCGUCUUGCGGAACACAAGUUCUGCAAGAGAAAGGCUGGGCUCCUUCGGGACCAGUCGCUCCGAGAUGAGCCCGCGUCCGAUUAGCUAGUUGGUAGGGUGACGGCCUACCAAGGCUCCGAUCGGUAGCCGGCCUGAGGGGGUGAUCGGCCACAUUGGGACUGAGACACGGCCCAGACUCCUACGGGAGGCAGCAGUGGGGAAUAUUGGGCAAUGGGCGAAAGCCUGACCCGGCGACGCCGCGUGGGGGAUGAAGGCCCUCGGGUUGUAAACCCCUGUCAGGGGGGGCGAAAGCCUUCCGGUCAAUACCCGGAAGGUCUGACGGUACCCCCAAAGGAAGCCCCGGCUAA